Molecule: ribosomal RNA, 500 nt
Filed under: uncultured bacterium
Lineage: Bacteria
Description: partial 16S ribosomal RNA
Rfam family: Bacterial small subunit ribosomal RNA
Source: RNAcentral
AUUGAACGCUGGCGGCAUGCCUUACACAUGCAAGUCGAACGGCAGCACGGGAGCAAUCCUGGUGGCGAGUGGCGAACGGGUGAGUAAAGUAUCGGAACGUGCCCAGUCGUGGGGGAUAACGUAGCGACAGUUACGCUAAUACCGCAUACGAUCUAUGGAUGAAAGCGGGGGAUCGCAAGACCUCGCGCGAUUGGAGCGGCCGAUAUCAGAUUAGGUAGUUGGUGGGGUAAAGGCUCACCAAGCCGACGAUCUGUAGCUGGUCUGAGAGGACGACCAGCCACACUGGGACGGAGACACGGCCCAGACUCCUACGGGAGGCAGCAGUGGGGAAUUUUGGACAAUGGGCGAAAGCCUGAUCCAGCCAUGCCGCGUGCAGGAUGAAGGCCUUCGGGUUGUAAACUGCUUUUGUACGGAACGAAAAGGUUUGGCCUAAUAAGCUGAGCCCAUGACGGUACCGUAAGAAUAAGCACCGGCUAACUACGUGCCAGCCGCCGCCGUAA